CUUCAGCGAUCCGAGCCACAGCGGAGCAUUCUCCGGCCGGUCCUUGCCGUACGUCGCGAGCAGCGCCUGGGCCUC
RNAcentral lists this antisense RNA (75 nucleotides) under Streptomyces sp. S4.7. RNAcentral describes it as "ASpks TB sRNA". It matches the Rfam family "ASpks TB sRNA". Lineage: Bacteria; Bacillati; Actinomycetota; Actinomycetes; Kitasatosporales; Streptomycetaceae. The record is from Rfam by way of RNAcentral.